AGUCGACCCCUAAGGUGAGGCCGAAAGGCGUAAUCGAUGGGAAGCAGGUUAAUAUUCCUGCACGACUUGUAAUUGCGAUGGGGGGACGGAGAAGGCUAGGUGGGCCAGGCGACGGUUGUCCUGGUGAAAGUGCGUAGGUGGUGUUUGUAGGCAAAUCCGGAGACACAACACUGAGACACGAGACGAACGCACCACGGUGCGGAAGCCAUUGAUGCCCUGCUUCCAGGAAAAGCCUCUAAGCUUCAGAUUACAAGUCAUCGUACCCCAAACCGACACAGGUGGUCGGGUAGAGA
RNAcentral lists this ribosomal RNA (293 nucleotides) under Aeromonas sp. MrichA-1. Its description in RNAcentral is "partial 23S ribosomal RNA". It matches the Rfam family "Bacterial large subunit ribosomal RNA", at positions 1382 to 1677 of the family's 2925-position model. The record is from RNAcentral. Lineage: Bacteria; Pseudomonadati; Pseudomonadota; Gammaproteobacteria; Aeromonadales; Aeromonadaceae.